GUGGCUAUCAGACUAGGAGAAUUCUGGGAAGAGGAAAGGCUGAGACUGCUGGAGACGCAGAGGAAACGAGAUGAGAAUGCCUUACCGAGAAAAGGUAUGAAGCCACAUGGCUAAACACAGAUAAAAAUUAUAGGUUAAUGUAAGUUGUAGAGAAGGCCUGAGCUCCAGGCCUGGAAUAGCGUCAGUUAGAGGUCCAAAUCCCAGCGUGGAAGCAACUUCAGAGGAAGGCCGGAGCUUCGGGCUGCAGCUUCAGGCCUGGAGCAGCAUCAAGGGGACCGUGAGAGCCUCAGACCUGGGUACAGCUUCAGAGAAAAGAACCCAGGAAUCCUUACAAAUCUGGAAGAGAAAGCUGUCAAAACAAGUGAGGACCAGUUGCAUGGGGUCUUCGGAGAGAAAUCUAUCUACACAGUUGCUCAAAGAUGAUGUCACCAUUUGUGUUCCUCAUCUGAGGCCUGAGGAAGCCGAGGCCCAGAUUCUGAGACUGGGACUUUGGCAGGGAGCCUCUUCGGUGUGUCAGGCGGACCUUCAUGAGAAGCCGAUUCUAAACCACAGCACUGUGGUGUUUGGGACUUGAAGCUCCAGGAGUGAGGAAACAGCAGAAACAGGACGCUCCCUUCUGCCUUUGACCAUAUCGUCCUUCCUGAGAUCACAGCGUAAAACCCUGGAAGGAUUUCCUGACCACCCCGCAAACAGGUAAGAACUUUCUGAAGGCGUUACCCAAGGACAACCGAGGGAGGAACAUCCUCAUCCAUGAACACCCAGGGACACUGAGGAGUAUCUGAGGAGAUAUUGGUAGAAAUCAUCUUAGAAGGAAACUGAGGUCCAGACAGAUUUCAUUAUUUACACAAG
RNAcentral lists this long non-coding RNA (849 nucleotides) under Cricetulus griseus (Chinese hamster). Its description in RNAcentral is "lncRNA (ENSCGRG00015033928.1)". The record is from RNAcentral. Lineage: Eukaryota; Metazoa; Chordata; Mammalia; Rodentia; Cricetidae.